GAAAGCGGGUGAAUGGUCGCUCUUCUUCCUAACUAGGGUAAGAAGGGAGGAAAGUCCGGACACCCUUCUGAUCUUUUUCAGAAGAAGAUGCAUCACUGCAUUCCUCCGCAAACGCCGGGUGGGCUUGCCCCCCGAAGCUUCAGCGGAGGAGGGUGGCAGGUAACGCCUGCCGGACGCAAGUCCAGGGAGCCGAACGAGACUAGAGUGGUACGCACACGUGUAUACCCCUCGAGCUCUCCCAUAGGCCGAAGAGUGCAACAGAAACAUACCGCCCCAUAAUUAGGGGUAAGGGUGAAAUUGUGCGGUAAGAGCGCACAUCCCGCCGCGGCAACGCAGUGGGAGGGCAAACCCCACCCGGUGCAAUCCCAAGUUUUGGUAGGGAGCUUGAGCCUCAUCGCGAGGUGAGGCCCAGAUAGAUGAUCAUUCAUCCUGCCCAAGCGAAAGAUUAAGCGGGCCUCGCCCGCUGAAGCUUUAGCGAAAGCGGGAGGACAGAAUCCGGCUUACAGCCCGCUUUCAAAA
This 519-nucleotide RNase P RNA is filed under the name Candidatus Anderseniibacteriota bacterium. RNAcentral's name for it is "RNase P RNA component class A". It matches the Rfam family "Bacterial RNase P class A". From Rfam's summary of the family: Ribonuclease P (RNase P) is a ubiquitous endoribonuclease, found in archaea, bacteria and eukarya as well as chloroplasts and mitochondria. Its best characterised activity is the generation of mature 5'-ends of tRNAs by cleaving the 5'-leader elements of precursor-tRNAs. Cellular RNase Ps are ribonucleoproteins. Lineage: Bacteria; Candidatus Anderseniibacteriota. The record is from RNAcentral.